This 88-nucleotide non-coding RNA is filed under the name uncultured Holdemanella sp. The record is from RNAcentral. Lineage: Bacteria; Bacillati; Bacillota; Erysipelotrichia; Erysipelotrichales; Erysipelotrichaceae.
AAAAAGGGGAGCUUUUAAGCUGAGAGUAGGUUAGUCCUAGACCCAAUAACCUGAUUUGGAUAAUGCCAACGUAGGGAAUUAUAUCUUU